AAUUUCAAAUCAACAACAUAAUUAGAAGGAAAAACCAAUAUCCAUUUCCAAAACCAUAUCCAAUUAGUAGCACAUUCAAAAUGCAAAGGAACACUCCACCCUGAUCUCUGAGUGUCAACCUUAUCCACAUUCCCAAACCUUGAAACAAAAACAAUGCCACAAAUAAUCUCCAAAGUAGUCAACCACACAGUCCAUGAAGUCAAAUCUUGAUCCAACAACUGCACCACCAUAAUCAAGAAUCUCCAAAACACUCUCAACACCAUUGAGAAAAGAGCCUUAGAUGAUUGUCUCAAACUCUUUGAUGACACCAUUGUAGAACUCAACACCACCAUUCUUGAUCUCUCAAAAAAUCCAUCAUCAUCAUCGUCAUCUUCAAACCAAGAUUUGUACACUUGUCUUGAUGGUUUUUCACAAAGCAAAAAUGGGAAUGCUGAGAGAGGGUUGAUAGAGGAGAAAGUGAUUGAGAUACACAACAUGCUUCAACUUAAUAAUGGAAGCAAACAUCACUCCAUUGGCUACAGGAUGCAGUGGACCAUACACUUUAUGCAGUGGACCAUGCAAUGGGUACCUUUUAGGACAUAGUAUUGGAAAACUGUUAGCUUUUGCAGUAAAAUUUUAACAGUAGAAAUCCUCUUAUCAUUUUAUAAUCUUCAAAGUCUCGUCUAUGAAAUCCGCAAUAGACAAGGACCUUCACUGCAUUAUUCUUAUUAUGUUUCUUAUACAAUAUACCUUCUCUUACACCUUUUAUAACCACUGUUAGUAAGGGUUUUGAUUUUCUCUACAUCAAAGUAUGUACAAAUCACUUGGGCAAGAAUGAUGGAACAACAUUGAAUCCCAAAUCACAUGUGUAUCAAAUUGCUUCAUCUCUGAUGAACCCUCUGCCACGCCUUUUUACACUGCUAUUCUAGAUUUUGGAGUUUACAUAUGGUAGCUAAACAGAAACACAGAGAGAAUGAGAAUUAUGAAAUAGGAGCCUGUUUCCUCACAGGAUUGAUGGUGCACUCGCCUUGUCUGCGACUUCAUUGAUUCAGCAAGAAACAGAUUGGAGGAAGUUGAAGUAAGAGUGUACAACCUUUGCAGAGUUUAAAAUUUGGAGUGUUGCUAUAUAUACUGGAGAUUCUUUAACAAGAAGGAAAAAGAG
Molecule: long non-coding RNA, 1141 nt
Organism: Arachis stenosperma
Lineage: Eukaryota; Viridiplantae; Streptophyta; Magnoliopsida; Fabales; Fabaceae
Exons: 3
Source: RefSeq, a predicted model, not a curated record